AGCGCUAUUUAGGUUAGAGUUUGAUCAUGGCUCAGGACAAACGCUGGCGGCGUGCGUAAAACAUGCAAGUCGCACGGCUCUUCGGAGCAGUGGCAGACGGCUGAGUAACGCGUAGGAAUCUACCCUUCGGUGGGGAAUAACGGGCCGAAAGGUCCGCUAAUACCGCAUACGACCGGGCGCAAGCCCGAGGAAAGCCUUUGGGCGCCGAAGGAGGAGCCUGCGUCCGAUUAGCUAGUUGGUGGGGUAACGGCCUACCAAGGCGACGAUCGGUAGCUGGUCUGAGAGGAUGACCAGCCAGACUGGGACUGGGACACGGCCCAGACUCCUACGGGAGGCAGCAGUUAGGAAUUUUGGGCAAUGGCCGCAAGGCUGACCCAGCAACGCCGCGUGGGGGACGAAGGCCUUCGGGUUGUAAACCCCUUUUCUCGGGGACGAUGAUGACGGUAGCCGAGGAAUAAGCCCCGGCUAACUACGUGCCAGCAGCCGCGGUAAUCGCCC
This 498-nucleotide ribosomal RNA is filed under the name uncultured bacterium. RNAcentral describes it as "bacterial SSU rRNA". It matches the Rfam family "Bacterial small subunit ribosomal RNA", at positions 1 to 526 of the family's 1533-position model. The record is from RNAcentral.